UACGGGGGGGGCAAGCGUUGUUCGGAAUUACUGGGCGUAAAGGGCUCGUAGGCGGCCAACUAAGUCGGACGUGAAAUCCCUCGGCUUAACCGGGGAACUGCGUCCGAUACUGGAUGGCUUGAGUUCGGGAGAGGGAUGCGGAAUUCCAGGUGUAGCGGUGAAAUGCUUAGAGAUUACAUGGAAUACCAAUUGCGAAGGCAGGUUACUACUAAUGGAUUGACGCUGAUGGACGAAAGCGUGGGGAGCGAACAGG
Molecule: ribosomal RNA, 253 nt
Filed under: uncultured bacterium
Lineage: Bacteria
Description: partial 16S ribosomal RNA
Rfam family: Bacterial small subunit ribosomal RNA
Source: RNAcentral